AUCACUUCUCUGCCUUUUGGCUAAGAUCAAGUGUAGCAAUAGCAUUUCUUGCAUUAUUUCUGAGAAUUCAAAGAUAUUAUUGUUUCAAACUGAUGAACAUUUGUAUUUGAAUGAUUUGUCUUUUCAAU
RNAcentral lists this small nuclear RNA (128 nucleotides) under Fukomys damarensis (Damara mole-rat). RNAcentral describes it as "U2 spliceosomal RNA". It matches the Rfam family "U2 spliceosomal RNA". From Rfam's summary of the family: U2 is a small nuclear RNA (snRNA) component of the spliceosome (involved in pre-mRNA splicing). Complementary binding between U2 snRNA (in an area lying towards the 5' end but 3' to hairpin I) and the branchpoint sequence (BPS) of the intron results the bulging out of an unpaired adenosine, on the BPS, which initiates a nucleophilic attack at the intronic 5' splice site, thus starting the first of two transesterification reactions that mediate splicing. Lineage: Eukaryota; Metazoa; Chordata; Mammalia; Rodentia; Bathyergidae. The record is from Rfam by way of RNAcentral.